CCCGUAUUCAGUCACUGAUCACCAUCACAGCCUGUGGUUUCAGGGAGGCUGGCUCUCUCUUUAGCUCCACUGGUGGAUGUGAGCAGUCUGGGGAUAAUCCCUCCAGCGCUGGUACAGUGCUUCACGAAUCCAGGCCUAAGACAGUCAGCACCUGGCAAGUCCCUGGACUCAAAGGCUGAUUCACGAAUGGGCAUGUGGUCCAGCUCAGGCCAAAGAGAUAAGAGGAGAAGUUUCUUGCAGCUCUGAGUAAGACAUUUCCUAUCUCUAAAUUGGAAAUCAUUGGAUGUUGGAGGGAAGUAAAUACACUCAGGAAGGGAUGAUCUUGAAACUGCGGAGAUCGUGAAACUGAGCUAGAGUCUCUGGGUUAAUAAAUUCUGAAGUCUAACUAGUCUCUAGGAUUCCCCUUACCUGAGCCAAAUACAUUCCCUUAUUAUUUAAGCCAGUCUGAAUUGUUGUUUUGUUUUUGUUCUUGCUCAAACAAACCACCUCAAAUCCUUUUUGGAACAAGGCAGAACGUAAAUAAACAAAGCAAGCCUCAAAAGUGACAGCCCAUGUCAACAAGGAGUCAUUCAUGAAGAUCCCGGCCACUUCUCCAAGCUCAUCUCUUGCUGUGCUGGGAAUAUAAAAGAGAAUUAGAUUCACUGGAUCCCUCCCAUUCACUGUAGUUUCUCGAGGAAAACAGAUGAACAGGUAAUGAGAUGUAUUAACGUAAGUACAAGGCCCUGCAGAAUAACAUAACAGGGCACCUCAUUAUUAUCUGGGAUUGACUGAAAUAUCAGAAUGUGCCUCUAGGCCAGUUAAGCCUGACAGUCAAUCUCCUUUGCAGUUUAAUCUCAACUUUCCAUUUCUGAGUUUUCAGGGUGCCUUUUUUGUCCCACUCAUUGCAUUUAACAAUAAUAACAAAGUAGCUACCACUUAAUAAGUAACUGUUUGAGAGGUUCCUAUGAAGCCCCUUCCACAAAUACUGGUUAUUUUAAUCCUUCCUUGGAUUAGAAACAGAAUCCAAUGUAAGGAUUUCAUAACUCCAUAACUGACUCUACACACAAUUUUAUUUUCUGCUUAUCUAAAUUAUUUUUACCAGUCUCUUUAAUCAAGUUUUUCAUAUUAACGUGUAUUUCUGUAGUUAGAUGAUGAUGAUGAUGUUGAUGAUAACAAUAGUUUAUGUUUAUUUGAUGCUUGCUGUUUUGCUAGAUAUGGUACUAAACUCUUCACAAGGCAUCGUCUCAUUUAAAUGGCUCAAUAAAGUUAUGGGGUAGAUCUAAUUAUUCUCCAUAUUUGACAGAUGAG
RNAcentral lists this long non-coding RNA (1287 nucleotides) under Equus caballus (horse). Its description in RNAcentral is "lncRNA (ENSECAG00000056514.1)". Lineage: Eukaryota; Metazoa; Chordata; Mammalia; Perissodactyla; Equidae. The record is from RNAcentral.